UACAGCCAUAUCAUUUUGAAACACUGGUUCUUGUAUGAUCAUUAAAGAUAAGCAACAUCGAGCCUGGUUCGUACCUAGAUGGGUAACCACUUGGGAAUACCAGUUGCUGUAAG
Molecule: non-coding RNA, 113 nt
Organism: Acanthosepion pharaonis
Lineage: Eukaryota; Metazoa; Mollusca; Cephalopoda; Sepiida; Sepiidae
Source: the annotation of a GenBank genome assembly